RNAcentral lists this non-coding RNA (23 nucleotides) under Cricetulus griseus (Chinese hamster). The record is from RNAcentral. Lineage: Eukaryota; Metazoa; Chordata; Mammalia; Rodentia; Cricetidae.
ACGGGCCAGAAAGCCAAGCUGGG